This is a long non-coding RNA of Lolium rigidum, 237 nucleotides long. RefSeq lists it as uncharacterized. The record is from RefSeq and is a predicted model, not a curated record. The transcript has 3 exons. NCBI's taxonomy places the organism in Eukaryota, Viridiplantae, Streptophyta, Magnoliopsida, Poales, Poaceae.
CGAUUCUCCUACACAGAAGGCGAAUACUCGCAAAGAUUCAACACUCAGGAAUCUGUUGACCCUACGUGGUCCAACAUGGGAGCUGGUUUAGGCCACAAUAUGCCUCCACUGCGUGGUCGUGACCACAUGCAAUCGCAAUACCCAACACAGGAAUCUUUAAUCCCGACAUGGCCCGAUAUGACGCAGCAACCACAAUACUACGGCAGCACUUCCCAACAACCUCGCAAUGAUGUUACC